GGAAGUGAGUAGGGUCCGGUGACUCUCCUGGCCUUCAAAGCCUGUGGGGCGUCGGGGAACCGGCGUCCGGUGGGUUCGACUCCCACGCACUUCC
This is a non-coding RNA of Acidobacteria bacterium 13_1_40CM_2_56_5, 94 nucleotides long. The record is from Rfam. Lineage: Bacteria; Pseudomonadati; Acidobacteriota.